Molecule: ribosomal RNA, 439 nt
Filed under: uncultured bacterium
Lineage: Bacteria
Description: partial 16S ribosomal RNA
Rfam family: Bacterial small subunit ribosomal RNA
Source: RNAcentral
CUACGGGUCGCUGCAGUGGGGAAUAUUGGACAAUGGGGGCAACCCUGAUCCAGCAAUGCCGCGUGAGUGAAGACGGCCUUAGGGUUGUAAAACUCUUUCGCUAGGGAAGAUAAUGACUGUACCUAGUAAAGAAGUCCCGGCUAACUCCGUGCCAGCAGCCGCGGUAAUACGGAGGGGACUAGCGUUGUUCGGAAUUACUGGGCGUAAAGAGUUCGUAGGCGGACUGACAAGUUAGAGGUGAAUUCCCAGGGCUCAACCCUGGAACUGCCUUUAAAACUGUCAGUCUAGAGACCGGAAGAGGUUAGGGGAAUACCUAGUGUAGAGGUGAAAUUCGUAGAUAUUAGGUGGAACACCAGUGGCGAAGGCGCCUAACUGGUCCGGUACUGACGCUGAGGAACGAAAGCGUGGGGAGCAAACAGGAUUAGAUACCCGGGUAGUC